RNAcentral lists this ribosomal RNA (489 nucleotides) under uncultured bacterium. RNAcentral's name for it is "bacterial SSU rRNA". It matches the Rfam family "Bacterial small subunit ribosomal RNA", at positions 30 to 507 of the family's 1533-position model. The record is from RNAcentral.
AUUGAACGCUGGCGGCAUGCCUAACACAUGCAAGUCGAACGGUAACGACGGGAGCUUGCUCCCGGGCGACGAGUGGCGGACGGGUGAGUAAUACCUAGGAAUCUGCCCAGUAGUGGGGGGACAACUCGAGGAAACUCGAGCUAAUACCGCAUACGCCCUACGGGGGAAAGCGGGGGAUCUUCGGACCUCGCGCUAUUGGAUGAGCCUAAGUCGGAUUAGCUUGUAGGUAGGGUAACGGCCUACCUAGGCGACGAUCCGUAGCUGGUCUGAGAGGACGAUCAGCCACACUGGGACUGAGACACGGCCCAGACUCCUACGGGAGGCAGCAGUGGGGAAUAUUGGACAAUGGGCGCAAGCCUGAUCCAGCCAUACCGCGUGGGUGAAGAAGGCCUUCGGGUUGUAAAGCCCUUUCAGUGGGGAAGAAAAGCUUGAGAUUAAUACCCUCGAGUCUUGACGGUACCUAAAGAAGAAGCACCGGCUAAUUCCGUG